RNAcentral lists this long non-coding RNA (436 nucleotides) under Nicotiana benthamiana. Its description in RNAcentral is "long non-coding RNA (NBEN_LNC041448)". Lineage: Eukaryota; Viridiplantae; Streptophyta; Magnoliopsida; Solanales; Solanaceae. The record is from RNAcentral.
ACUUGUCUUCUUAAUUUUCCUAUUCACAACUGUAUAGAACUUGACAUUUCCUUUCAAUACUUCAUUGGAAACGAUACUACUUUCGGCAAAUACCGUUCUCCCCCUUUUUCUUUCGUUUUUUUCUUUCUAUUAUGUGGCCAUAAGAUAAUAUUGUCUUGAUAAGAUAUGUAAUUCCUAUAUCCGUAAAAGAAUAUCACGAUUACAACUACAACAGCAACAGUAAAAAAAAAUUAUACAAAUAGGAUCUGGGGAGGACAGAGUGCUCAGAUCUUACUCCUACCUGAAGAUAGAGAGCAGAAGCGGCACAAUAGUUUAGAGGCCUAAAGCCAAGACGUAAUAAGAUGCCUUAAACUUGUUUAAUAAUUUUAAAUAUUUUUGUUAAAGUUUACUCUUUUUAUUUUUCGAGAUGCAAUUUCAUCUUGACGAUGUAACGAAC